CAUAGAUAAAUAUUAUUUCCUUUUUGUGAAUUAUUUAAAAAGUGGGAGGAGAAUUCCAGUGGCCGACAAAGGACCGACAUACUAAAUUCCCUUUUAACAACAAAAGAAAUGGCGGCAUCAUCAAGAAAAAAGCAAAACACAAAAAGGC
Long non-coding RNA from Gordionus sp. m RMFG-2023, 148 nucleotides. RefSeq lists it as uncharacterized. The record is from RefSeq and is a predicted model, not a curated record. The transcript is spliced from 3 exons. Lineage: Eukaryota; Metazoa; Nematomorpha; Gordioida; Chordodea; Parachordodidae.